CUACCAGCGCUGCAAAAUUUUAGUGCUUCAAGCGCUUUCCUGGGGUGGGAAAAUCCAAGCUGAAAUCCUUUCUCACAUGGGGGGAAUUGAGGGUGUACUAGACGGCUUAAAAUAUUUUGAUGAAAUGAAGUUAAAUUGAGAAGGAAAGUCAGGUAGAAGUUGGCAAUGCUUUGGGCAAGAUACUGUGAACAUUAUGCCAGGGUUUGCCAAGGGGUGAUCCUGUUAGGGAAAUAAAGGGUUUGCAUUCGUAUUGAUUUUCUUAAUUAGUGAUAAAAUUAAGAAGUAAGAUAAUAUUUGCCACCAAGCAUGCUCAUAUUACCACAAAUACGUGAAAUACCCCUGGGGUGGGAGAGCCAGGAAAUAAAACGGGUUGAAACUGAAAAAUGUCUGAUAAGAACAGUUGGUCACAGAAUUAAAUAAUCAGAAAUGUAGCUGCUGGAUCAAUGAAGCACAGACCAAGCUCAGCCACACACAGAGAUCCUGCCACAAUUGUAAAACGAGACCAGGAUGUCAGGUUUAUCAAGCUGUCCCAGCCUGCCGGAGAACAACAGUUCAAGUGACUCCAUGGUCCUGCAGAGUGGAUUGUUCCAACAUGUUUAAAGAGCAUCAAAGAAUGUGGCGAGACUUUGUAUAAAACUCCAUUGGAAAUUAAACUGGACAUUUCAGCAGCCAGCAAAGUGCUGAGGGCAAACUGCAGCUUGGCCAGCGUAGGAUGCAGUGGUGAUCAGAGUGCAUUGCAAGAAGGGCCCUUGGAAAGCAAUCAGUGAAAGGAGGUUACUGAGCAGAGCUGAGCAGCAGGUGUUCACUGGCUGUCCCGAGAUGUCCGUACUCCUGGCUAUGGCCUAACUUGUCCUACACAACCUGAUG
Chelonoidis abingdonii (Abingdon island giant tortoise) is the source of this 867-nucleotide non-coding RNA. The record is from RefSeq and is a predicted model, not a curated record. NCBI's taxonomy places the organism in Eukaryota, Metazoa, Chordata, Testudines, Testudinidae.